Balaenoptera musculus (blue whale) is the source of this 234-nucleotide long non-coding RNA. RefSeq lists it as uncharacterized. The record is from RefSeq and is a predicted model, not a curated record. The transcript is spliced from 3 exons. Lineage: Eukaryota; Metazoa; Chordata; Mammalia; Artiodactyla; Balaenopteridae.
CCCAUAUUUUGGGGCCUCUCACCUUCUGAGAUGGCUCACACUCUAUCUGUGGAGUAUGUUUCUCCCAGGGCCAUUCUUACCUUUUGAGACGGACCACAUUCUGUCUCUGGAAUGUGUAUCUCUCUAAAAAAAAGUCCACUUCUUACCUAUCACUUUGUCUCUCACUGAAUUCUUUCUGUGACAAGACAUCAAGAACCUGAGUUUUGGACUUCCCUGGUGGUGCAGUAGUUAAGA